This 650-nucleotide long non-coding RNA is filed under the name Parus major (Great Tit). RNAcentral describes it as "lncRNA (ENSPMJG00000014882.1)". Lineage: Eukaryota; Metazoa; Chordata; Aves; Passeriformes; Paridae. The record is from RNAcentral.
CUCUGCUAAAAAAUGGAUUCUUGAUUCAUGCCAUAUUGCCUUGCAAUCAGAGGAAGCAUUUAACCAGGACUAUCCUGACUUUAAAGAAAUGUAGCUUCCAGAAGGACAUCCUUCAUGUUGUAUUCUAAAUUAGAGCUUUUACUUUCCUAGAACAAAUAGUUUUAGGUGUGGUUACUGUUACUUCAUCCCUGAAGCGUUUCCAAGAGAAACAAGGGAUUGUCCACAAGAUAAUCACCGCUGUGUCUGACUCCUCUGUGUGUAGUAUGGUGUGUCACUAAGAGAGAGGUAUUAUCUACAUGCAGCCUGUGAACAAAAAUCAAGAAUACCCGCUGGGGAUAAAACUUUAUGUGCAAAUUGUUCUGCAAAUGGAUGGUUUCUCCGGAAAGAGUUCCUUGCUGCCAGGUGCAAAUCCACACUAUGAAAAUGGAUGUUAUGAAAGUGUCAGCUUUGAGGUGGGGACAGUCCCACAGCAUGGGCUGUCAUCUGGCAGGGGCUUCAAUCUCCAAGAAAUACCGAGGAUCUCACACAAGCUCACACAGGAGCCACCAGGACCAGCUUUCAGUCACCAAGAAGAGGAAAGUACCUCUGGAGACAUUCAGAAGAUGGAGCUAUCACCCGAAGAGGUUUCAAAAAGGCAGGCCGGGUUGUAG